Molecule: long non-coding RNA, 201 nt
Filed under: Elaeis guineensis (African oil palm)
Lineage: Eukaryota; Viridiplantae; Streptophyta; Magnoliopsida; Arecales; Arecaceae
Description: long non-coding RNA (EGUI_LNC069602)
Source: RNAcentral
CCUUUGAUCUAAUAAGAUUGGGUUAAUUUAAAUUGGAACCUUAUCCAACGUGGAUCAAUUUCCAAUGGAGAAGGACUCCUCUACACCCACCAGAAGCCAUGGUAAAAGGUAAAUGCCGCCCACCCCUUAUCUGUAUGUGAAAUGAAGAGUCCUUCUUAAAGAAGGCUCUUAACUAUUAUGCGUUGCCAUAAUUUCCCAUCC